UGGGGAAUUUUGCGCAAUGGGGGAAACCCUGACGCAGCAACGCCGCGUGGAGGAUGAAAUCCCUUGGGAUGUAAACUCCUUUCGAUAGGGAAGAUAAUGACGGUACCUAUAGAAGAAGCCCCGGCUAACUUCGUGCCAGCAGCCGCGGUAAUACGAGGGGGGCAAGCGUUGUUCGGAAUUAUUGGGCGUAAAGGGUGCGUAGGCGGUUUGACAAGUCUCAUGUGAAAUCUCUGGGCUCAACCCAGAGUCUGCAUGGGAAACUGUCGGGCUUGAGUAUGGGAGAGGUGAGUGGAAUUUCCGGUGUAGCGGUGAAAUGCGUAGAUAUCGGAAGGAACACCUGCGGCGAAAGCGGCUCACUGGACCAUAACUGACGCUGAGGCACGAAAGCUAGGGGAGCAAACAG
RNAcentral lists this ribosomal RNA (403 nucleotides) under uncultured bacterium. Its description in RNAcentral is "bacterial SSU rRNA". It matches the Rfam family "Bacterial small subunit ribosomal RNA", at positions 355 to 775 of the family's 1533-position model. The record is from RNAcentral.